GGAGUUGUAGCUCAGUGGUAGAGCACUUGCCUCACUUGCAUGAGGCACUGGGUUUGAUCCUCAAUACCA
This 69-nucleotide transfer RNA is filed under the name Ictidomys tridecemlineatus (thirteen-lined ground squirrel). RNAcentral describes it as "Spermophilus tridecemlineatus (thirteen-lined ground squirrel) tRNA". It matches the Rfam family "tRNA". Rfam says of the family: Transfer RNA (tRNA) molecules are approximately 80 nucleotides in length. Their secondary structure includes four short double-helical elements and three loops (D, anti-codon, and T loops). Further hydrogen bonds mediate the characteristic L-shaped molecular structure. tRNAs have two regions of fundamental functional importance: the anti-codon, which is responsible for specific mRNA codon recognition, and the 3' end, to which the tRNAs corresponding amino acid is attached (by aminoacyl-tRNA synthetases). tRNAs cope with the degeneracy of the genetic code in two manners: having more than one tRNA (with a specific anti-codon) for a particular amino acid; and 'wobble' base-pairing, i.e. permitting non-standard base-pairing at the 3rd anti-codon position. Lineage: Eukaryota; Metazoa; Chordata; Mammalia; Rodentia; Sciuridae. The record is from Rfam by way of RNAcentral.